WAAACGACUCUCGGCAACGGAUAUCUCGGCUCUCGCAUCGAUGAAGAACGUAGCGAAAUGCGAUACUUGGUGUGAAUUGCAGAAUCCCGUGAACCAUCGAGUCUUUGAACGCAAGUUGCGCCCUAAGCCAUUUGGCCGAGGGCACGUCUGCCUGGGCGUCAAU
Molecule: ribosomal RNA, 163 nt
Filed under: Camissonia strigulosa
Lineage: Eukaryota; Viridiplantae; Streptophyta; Magnoliopsida; Myrtales; Onagraceae
Description: 5.8S ribosomal RNA
Rfam family: 5.8S ribosomal RNA
About the family: 5.8S ribosomal RNA (5.8S rRNA) is a component of the large subunit of the eukaryotic ribosome.
Source: RNAcentral